UUUCUCAUUCCUCAACUCUCUUUUUCACCGACUUCCUUCACUCUCUCUCAGAAACCUAGAGAGAGAAACCUUCUACACCUUCAGCAAUCACCGGUCAUCCAUUCGAUAAUGGUUAUGGGGCUUCGGUUCUUCUUUGGGGAUUGGUGAUUUCGCCCUUUUGAUUUUGACCUGAGAAAGGAGAAAAGAGGAGAUAACUGGCUGAGUUUAUAUCUGCCGAUGAAAGGAAAAUGCUGCUGAAGAUACUUUGAAUGCUUACAAAGCUGCUCAGAGAUAAUUUGGUGGAGGGAAGCAGGAAUGAUUGGAUUACUGAAGUGACGUUGGUGGGGUUCACAUCAUUUGAAGUUUUUGCACUCCAACAUAGUUUUUCAAAAUCAAAGGAGGUAUAGUUGUUGGUAUGCAAAAUUCAGAGGCGAAUGACAUAAGAAACUAAAUUUACGAGUAUAAAAUAAGAAAUUGAAGACCAUUGUAGAGGCAAAUGAGAUAAAAUUUGGCAUGCCAAAGGUGUGUAAAUGGCAUUGUUGCUGCUCUAUUGAUAUUACUGUAUGCCUGCACUCAAGUCACAACGUCGUCUGCAGCCACCUAUAUUCCCAUACCCAAAACCACACCCUUACUGCUUCAAUUACCCAUCUUCGUUUUGGGCCUCGGCCAUUAUUAUUUACUCCCUCCGUUUCUUUUAAGGAUGACGAUUUUUCUUUAUGUUCCACGUCGGCUAUGAGUUGGUGAGAAACUAGAGGAGACAUAUUGCGAUGAACGGCGGCAGGGGUACUGGUGAUGGCGAAGUUUCCGGCAUCAGACUGCCGCUAUCUUAGGACUGCAACCACUUAAAAUAUAGACGAAACUCUCAAACUUGUAAUGUAUUUUCUUUCCCUUUCAAUUUGUUGUGGUUGAAUAGAAAGAUAGAAAAAUUGCUCAUUUCUGAAAUAUUAGGCUUCAAUUUUUAUAAACAAUACUUCUAAAUAGCAACUUCUUAAUUCGGGCAUUCUUUUUUGUCAUUGAACUAUAAGUUUUGAGUUUUCUUCUCAUUUUGGUUAUAAUAUUCAUGGGUGUAAAAAUUUCUACUUUACUUGAGCUUUGUCAUUCAUUUGGGUAUCCAUGUCUGUGAAAUGAUCUGAUACAACUCAUAAUUUUGUUCUUUC
This is a long non-coding RNA of Chenopodium quinoa (quinoa), 1136 nucleotides long. RefSeq lists it as uncharacterized. The record is from RefSeq and is a predicted model, not a curated record. The transcript has 4 exons. Lineage: Eukaryota; Viridiplantae; Streptophyta; Magnoliopsida; Caryophyllales; Amaranthaceae.